UGGGGGAUAUUGCACAAUGGGCGAAAGCCUGAUGCAGCGACGCCGCGUGGGGGAUGAAGGCUUUCGGGUUGUAAACCUCUUUCGCUAUCGAACAAGGCCCGCUUAGGGUGGGUUGAGGGUAGGUGGAGAAGAAGCGCCGGCUAACUACGUGCCAGCAGCCGCGGUAAUACGUAGGGCGCGAGCGUUGUCCGGAAUUAUUGGGCGUAAAGGGCUUGUAGGCGGCUUGUUGCGCCUGCUGUGAAAACGCGGGGCUUAACUUCGCGCGUGCAGUGGGUACGGGCAGGCUUGAGUGAGGUAGGGGUGACUGGAAUUCCAGGUGUAGCGGUGGAAUGCGCAGAUAUCUGGAGGAACACCGAUGGCGAAGGCAGGUCACUGGGCCAUUACUGACGCUGAGGAGCGAAAGCAUGGGUAGCGAACAGG
Molecule: ribosomal RNA, 420 nt
Filed under: bacterium
Lineage: Bacteria
Description: partial 16S ribosomal RNA
Rfam family: Bacterial small subunit ribosomal RNA
Source: RNAcentral